Molecule: ribosomal RNA, 311 nt
Filed under: uncultured bacterium
Lineage: Bacteria
Description: bacterial SSU rRNA
Rfam family: Bacterial small subunit ribosomal RNA
Source: RNAcentral
GAUGAACGCUGGCGGCAUGCCUAACACAUGCAAGUCGAACGGACUUAGAUGAAACCUAGUGAUUCUAAGUUAGUGGCGGACGGGUGAGUAACGCGUGGGUAACCUGCCUCACACUGGGGGAUAACAGUUAGAAAUGACUGCUAAUACCGCAUAAGUGCACAGGACCGCAUGGUCUAGUGUAAAAACUCCGGUGGUGUGAGAUGGACCCGCGUCUGAUUAGCUAGUUGGUGAGGUAACGGCUCACCAAGGCGACGAUCAGUAGCCGGCCUGAGAGGGUGAACGGCCACAGUUGGGACUGGGACACGGCCCAA